Molecule: long non-coding RNA, 1178 nt
Organism: Cyprinodon tularosa
Lineage: Eukaryota; Metazoa; Chordata; Actinopteri; Cyprinodontiformes; Cyprinodontidae
Exons: 2
Source: RefSeq, a predicted model, not a curated record
UGUGGCCCUAAAGGACAAGCUGUAUUGAUCGUCAGCAUUAGAUCCCCGCUUCAAGGGCCUCCCUUUUUUGUCCGAUGUUGCCCGAGAUGACACAUUCAACAGGCUAAUGGCGGAAGCUGCUGGUGGGGAGCAAGUUGAGGCAGAGGCAUCAAAUGAAGAAUCUGUUGUCGAUCCAGCUGAGGAAACUCCGCCUGUGCAGCAGACAGAGACUGCCCUUGAGCCUGUUGAGGAGGAGGUUUGCCCACCAAAGAGGCAGAAGAAAUCUUCUGCGCUGAUGUUUCUUCUAGGGUCAGCCUACAAGCCAAAUGACACUGUGCCACUCAGAACUCUUGCUGACCAGGCACAGGAAGAAGUGAAAAGAUACAGGGAAUUAGCACAUCUACCACUUUCUGAAAAUCCAUUGCACUGGUGGAAGGUGCAUGCUGAGGAGUACCCCCUUUUGGCUCAUCAAGCAAAGCGGUACUUAUGUGUACCUGGGACUAGUGUCCCAUCUGAAAGAGUAUUCUCAACUGCUGGCGAUAUUGUUACAGCAAAAAGGAGCUGCCUCACUUCGCAACAUGUAGAUCAGCUACUUUUCUUGCAGAAAAAUCUACAACAAUUCAGCAUUAAUUAAGAAAACACACAUAUGUAAGGGGUUUAGGUUUCACAUACUGUGUGAGUUUCAUGGUUCAUGGAAAGUUUUUUUAUAUAAACAUUUCCAAAAAAUACAGUUCAUUAUACUUUUGCGAUAUGCAAUUGCAAAGCCUUCUUAAAAUAUUCUUGUUAAUGUUUUGUUAUUUUGAUAGUCUGACUAAAAUAGGACAUGAGGGAAUUCAGAGUUCAGGAUGUAAAUGCUUCAAAAGCAAAACAGAAUUUAAUUUUUGUAUCUUGUUUUAUCAAAAUUUACUGUUAAUAGGUAUUUAAGUGUUAUGUUUACUAAAGACCUGACUUUUGCACUUUAAGACAGUUCUGAUACUUUUUCAUUUCUGUUAGUAUCCUUACAUUUACAAUUAUUUAUUCAUCUGUUUGAUUGUGUCUCUUAUGAGACAGAUUUGUUUUGCAACCACUGGAACAUUAGCACAAAAGCUUUGUGAGACAGUCAAAGAAUGUGAAUGUCAUGCGUAUUCAGUGUGUUUGUUGCCACUUUAUUUACACAGCCUGCUCUGUGAUUUGAGUUGAUUUGGUCAGGUCAUGUUAAA